RNAcentral lists this ribosomal RNA (1379 nucleotides) under Lactiplantibacillus plantarum. RNAcentral's name for it is "bacterial SSU rRNA". It matches the Rfam family "Bacterial small subunit ribosomal RNA", at positions 93 to 1458 of the family's 1533-position model. The record is from RNAcentral. Lineage: Bacteria; Bacillati; Bacillota; Bacilli; Lactobacillales; Lactobacillaceae.
GAGUGGCGAACUGGUGAGUAACACGUGGGAAACCUGCCCAGAAGCGGGGGAUAACACCUGGAAACAGAUGCUAAUACCGCAUAACAACUUGGACCGCAUGGUCCGAGCUUGAAAGAUGGCUUCGGCUAUCACUUUUGGAUGGUCCCGCGGCGUAUUAGCUAGAUGGUGGGGUAACGGCUCACCAUGGCAAUGAUACGUAGCCGACCUGAGAGGGUAAUCGGCCACAUUGGGACUGAGACACGGCCCAAACUCCUACGGGAGGCAGCAGUAGGGAAUCUUCCACAAUGGACGAAAGUCUGAUGGAGCAACGCCGCGUGAGUGAAGAAGGGUUUCGGCUCGUAAAACUCUGUUGUUAAAGAAGAACAUAUCUGAGAGUAACUGUUCAGGUAUUGACGGUAUUUAACCAGAAAGCCACGGCUAACUACGUGCCAGCAGCCGCGGUAAUACGUAGGUGGCAAGCGUUGUCCGGAUUUAUUGGGCGUAAAGCGAGCGCAGGCGGUUUUUUAAGUCUGAUGUGAAAGCCUUCGGCUCAACCGAAGAAGUGCAUCGGAAACUGGGAAACUUGAGUGCAGAAGAGGACAGUGGAACUCCAUGUGUAGCGGUGAAAUGCGUAGAUAUAUGGAAGAACACCAGUGGCGAAGGCGGCUGUCUGGUCUGUAACUGACGCUGAGGCUCGAAAGUAUGGGUAGCAAACAGGAUUAGAUACCCUGGUAGUCCAUACCGUAAACGAUGAAUGCUAAGUGUUGGAGGGUUUCCGCCCUUCAGUGCUGCAGCUAACGCAUUAAGCAUUCCGCCUGGGGAGUACGGCCGCAAGGCUGAAACUCAAAGGAAUUGACGGGGGCCCGCACAAGCGGUGGAGCAUGUGGUUUAAUUCGAAGCUACGCGAAGAACCUUACCAGGUCUUGACAUACUAUGCAAAUCUAAGAGAUUAGACGUUCCCUUCGGGGACAUGGAUACAGGUGGUGCAUGGUUGUCGUCAGCUCGUGUCGUGAGAUGUUGGGUUAAGUCCCGCAACGAGCGCAACCCUUAUUAUCAGUUGCCAGCAUUAAGUUGGGCACUCUGGUGAGACUGCCGGUGACAAACCGGAGGAAGGUGGGGAUGACGUCAAAUCAUCAUGCCCCUUAUGACCUGGGCUACACACGUGCUACAAUGGAUGGUACAACGAGUUGCGAACUCGCGAGAGUAAGCUAAUCUCUUAAAGCCAUUCUCAGUUCGGAUUGUAGGCUGCAACUCGCCUACAUGAAGUCGGAAUCGCUAGUAAUCGCGGAUCAGCAUGCCGCGGUGAAUACGUUCCCGGGCCUUGUACACACCGCCCGUCACACCAUGAGAGUUUGUAACACCCAAAGUCGGUGGGGUAACCUUUUAGGAACCAGCCGCCU